AUAUUUACCUGGCAGGGGAGAUACCCUGAUCACGAAGGGGGUUCUCCCAGGGUGAGGCUCAGCCAUUGCACUCCGGCUGUGCUGACCCCUGCGAUUUCCCCAAAUGUGGGAAAUUCGACUGCAGUAUCUAGACUGACAGUUGGGUUUUGCCCUGCUGG
Molecule: small nuclear RNA, 158 nt
Organism: Spea bombifrons (plains spadefoot toad)
Lineage: Eukaryota; Metazoa; Chordata; Amphibia; Anura; Pelobatidae
Product: U1 spliceosomal RNA
Exons: 1
Source: RefSeq, a predicted model, not a curated record